GAUGAACGCUGGCGGCGUGCCUAAUACAUGCAAGUCGAGCGAACAGACGAGGAGCUUGCUCCUCUGACGUUAGCGGCGGACGGGUGAGUAACACGUGGAUAACCUACCUAUAAGACUGGGAUAACUUCGGGAAACCGGAGCUAAUACCGAAUAAUAUAUUGAACCGCAUGGUUCAAUAGUGAAAGACGGUUUUGCUGUCACUUCUAGAUGGAUCCGCGCCGCAUUAGCUAGUUGGUAAGGUAACGGCUUACCAAGGCAACGAUGCGUAGCCGACCUGAGAGGGGGAUCGGCCACACUGGAACUGAGACACGGUCCAGACUCCUACGGGAGGCAGCAGUAGGGAAUCUGCCGCAAUGGGCGAAAGCCUGACGGAGCAACGCCGCGUGAGUGAUGAAGGUCUUCGGAUCGUAAAACUCUGUUAUUAGGGAAGAACAAAUGUGUAAGUAACUAUGCACGUCUUGACGGUACCUAAUCAGAAAGCCACGGCUAACUACGUG
Molecule: ribosomal RNA, 497 nt
Filed under: uncultured bacterium
Lineage: Bacteria
Description: partial 16S ribosomal RNA
Rfam family: Bacterial small subunit ribosomal RNA
Source: RNAcentral